GACGGAGGAUGCAAGUGUUAUCCGGAAUCACUGGGCGUAAAGCGUCUGUAGGUGGUUUAAAAAGUCUAUUGUUAAAAAUUGAAGCUUAACUUCAAAGAUGCAAUGGAAACUUUUAAACUUGAGUAUGGUAGGGGUAGAGGGAAUUUCCAGUGGAGCGGUGAAAUGCGUAGAUAUUGGAAAGACCACCAUGGCGAAGGCACUCUACUGGGCCAUUACUGACACUGAGAGACGAAAGCUAGGGGAGCAAAUGGGAUUAGAACCUACCGAGU
This 269-nucleotide ribosomal RNA is filed under the name uncultured bacterium. Its description in RNAcentral is "partial 16S ribosomal RNA". It matches the Rfam family "Bacterial small subunit ribosomal RNA", at positions 524 to 791 of the family's 1533-position model. The record is from RNAcentral.